GUUCCUACGGGAGGCAGCAGUGGGGAAUAUUGCACAAUGGGGGAAACCCUGAUGCAGCGACGCCGCGUGAGUGAAGAAGUAUUUCGGUAUGUAAAGCUCUAUCAGCAGGGAAGAUAAUGACGGUACCUGACUAAGAAGCCCCGGCUAACUACGUGCCAGCAGCCGCGGUAAUACGUAGGGGGCAAGCGUUAUCCGGAUUUACUGGGUGUAAAGGGAGCGUAGACGGCGAGGCAAGUCUGGAGUGAAAGCCCGGGGCUCAACCCCGGGACUGCUUUGGAAAGUGCCUGGGUGGAGUGCUGGAGAGG
Molecule: ribosomal RNA, 305 nt
Filed under: uncultured bacterium
Lineage: Bacteria
Description: bacterial SSU rRNA
Rfam family: Bacterial small subunit ribosomal RNA
Source: RNAcentral